This 483-nucleotide ribosomal RNA is filed under the name uncultured bacterium. RNAcentral's name for it is "partial 16S ribosomal RNA". It matches the Rfam family "Bacterial small subunit ribosomal RNA", at positions 30 to 506 of the family's 1533-position model. The record is from RNAcentral.
AUUGAACGCUGGCGGCAGGCCUAACACAUGCAAGUCGAGCGGAUGAAGGGAGCUUGCUCCUGGAUUCAGCGGCGGACGGGUGAGUAAUGCCUAGGAAUCUGCCUGGUAGUGGGGGAUAACGUCCGGAAACGGGCGCUAAUACCGCAUACGUCCUGAGGGAGAAAGUGGGGGAUCUUCGGACCUCACGCUAUCAGAUGAGCCUAGGUUGGAUUAGCUAGUUGGUGGGGUAAAGGCCUACCAAGGCGACGAUCCGUAACUGGUCUGAGAGGAUGAUCAGUCACACUGGAACUGAGACACGGUCCAGACUCCUACGGGAGGCAGCAGUGGGGAAUAUUGGACAAUGGGCGAAAGCCUGAUCCAGCCAUGCCGCGUGUGUGAAGAAGGUCUUCGGAUUGUAAAGCACUUUAAGUUGGGAGGAAGGGCAGUAAGUUAAUACCUUGCUGUUUUGACGUUACCAACAGAAUAAGCACCGGCUAACUUCGU